This 467-nucleotide ribosomal RNA is filed under the name uncultured bacterium. Its description in RNAcentral is "partial 16S ribosomal RNA". It matches the Rfam family "Bacterial small subunit ribosomal RNA", at positions 28 to 506 of the family's 1533-position model. The record is from RNAcentral.
GACGAACGCUGGCGGCGUGCUUAACACAUGCAAGUCGAACGGAAAGGCCCUGCUUUUGUGGGGUGCUCGAGUGGCGAACGGGUGAGUAACACGUGAGUAACCUGCCCUUGACUUUGGGAUAACUUCAGGAAACUGGGGCUAAUACCGGAUAGGAGCUCCUGCUGCAUGGUGGGGGUUGGAAAGUUUCGGCGGUUGGGGAUGGACUCGCGGCUUAUCAGCUUGUUGGUGGGGUAGUGGCUUACCAAGGCUUUGACGGGUAGCCGGCCUGAGAGGGUGACCGGCCACAUUGGGAAUGAGAUACGGCCCAGGCGCCUACGGGAGGCAGCAGUGGGGAAUAUUUCACAAUGGGCGGAAGGCUGAUGCAGCAACGCCGCGUGCGGGAUGACGGCCUUCGGGUGGGAAACCGCUUUCGCCUGUGACGAAGCGUGAGUGACGGUAAUGGGUAAAGAAGCACCGGCGAACUACGU